GAUAAACGCUGGCGGCGUGCCUAAUACAUGCAAGUCGAGCGAACGGACGAGAAGCUUGCUUCUCUGAUGUUAGCGGCGGACGGGUGAGUAACACGUGGAUAACCUACCUAUAAGACUGGGAUAACUUCGGGAAACCGGAGCUAAUACCGGAUAAUAUUUUGAACCGCAUGGUUCAAAAGUGAAAGACGGUCUUGCUGUCACUUAUAGAUGGAUCCGCGCUGCAUUAGCUAGUUGGUAAGGUAACGGCUUACCAAGGCAACGAUGCAUAGCCGACCUGAGAGGGUGAUCGGCCACACUGGAACUGAGACACGGUCCAGACUCCUACGGGAGGCAGCAGUAGGGAAUCUUCCGCAAUGGGCGAAAGCCUGACGGAGCAACGCCGCGUGAGUGAUGAAGGUCUUCGGAUCGUAAAACUCUGUUAUUAGGGAAGAACAUAUGUGUAAGUAACUGUGCACAUCUUGACGGUACCUAAUCAGAAAGCCACGGCUAACUACGUGCCAGCAGCCGCGGUAAUACGUAGGUGGCAAGCGUUAUCCGGAAUUAUUGGGCGUAAAGCGCGCGUAGGCGGUUUUUUAAGUCUGAUGUGAAAGCCCACGGCUCAACCGUGGAGGGUCAUUGGAAACUGGAAAACUUGAGUGCAGAAGAGGAAAGUGGAAUUCCAUGUGUAGCGGUGAAAUGCGCAGAGAUAUGGAGGAACACCAGUGGCGAAGGCGACUUUCUGGUCUGUAACUGACGCUGAUGUGCGAAAGCGUGGGGAUCAAACAGGAUUAGAUACCCUGGUAGUCCACGCCGUAAACGAUGAGUGCUAAGUGUUAGGGGGUUUCCGCCCCUUAGUGCUGCAGCUAACGCAUUAAGCACUCCGCCUGGGGAGUACGACCGCAAGGUUGAAACUCAAAGGAAUUGACGGGGACCCGCACAAGCGGUGGAGCAUGUGGUUUAAUUCGAAGCAACGCGAAGAACCUUACCAAAUCUUGACAUCCUUUGACAACUCUAGAGAUAGAGCCUUCCCCUUCGGGGGACAAAGUGACAGGUGGUGCAUGGUUGUCGUCAGCUCGUGUCGUGAGAUGUUGGGUUAAGUCCCGCAACGAGCGCAACCCUUAAGCUUAGUUGCCAUCAUUAAGUUGGGCACUCUAAGUUGACUGCCGGUGACAAACCGGAGGAAGGUGGGGAUGACGUCAAAUCAUCAUGCCCCUUAUGAUUUGGGCUACACACGUGCUACAAUGGACAAUACAAAGGGCAGCGAAACCGCGAGGUCAAGCAAAUCCCACAAAGUUGUUCUCAGUUCGGAUUGUAGUCUGCAACUCGACUACAUGAAGCUGGAAUCGCUAGUAAUCGUAGAUCAGCAUGCUACGGUGAAUACGUUCCCGGGUCU
RNAcentral lists this ribosomal RNA (1372 nucleotides) under uncultured bacterium. Its description in RNAcentral is "bacterial SSU rRNA". It matches the Rfam family "Bacterial small subunit ribosomal RNA", at positions 28 to 1381 of the family's 1533-position model. The record is from RNAcentral.